This 280-nucleotide ribosomal RNA is filed under the name uncultured bacterium. Its description in RNAcentral is "partial 16S ribosomal RNA". It matches the Rfam family "Bacterial small subunit ribosomal RNA", at positions 335 to 630 of the family's 1533-position model. The record is from RNAcentral.
UGUGCCUACGGGACGCAGCAGUCGGGAAUAUUGCGCAAUGGAGGAAAAUCUGACGCAGUGACGCCGCGUGCAGGAAGAAGGUUUUCGGAUUGUAAACUGCUUUAGACAGGGAAGAAAAAAGACAGUACCUGUAGAAUAAGCUCCGGCUAACUACGUGCCAGCAGCCGCGGUAAUACGUAGGGGGCAAGCGUUAUCCGGAAUUACUGGGUGUAAAGGGAGCGUAGACGGCUGUGCAAGUCUGGAGUGAAAGGCGGGGGCCCAACCCCCGGACUGCUCUGGA